GAUGAACGCUGGCGGCGUGCCUAAUACAUGCAAGUCGAGCGAACGGACGAGAAGCUUGCUUCUCUGAUGUUAGCGGCGGACGGGUGAGUAACACGUGGAUAACCUACCUAUAAGACUGGGAUAACUUCGGGAAACCGUAGCUAAUACCGGAUAAUAUUUUGAACCGCAUGGUUCAAAAGUGAAAGACGGUCUUGCUGUCACUUAUAGAUGGAUCCGCGCUGCAUUAGCUAGUUGGUAAGGUAACGGCUUACCAAGGCAACGAUGCAUAGCCGACCUGAGAGGGUGAUCGGCCACACUGGAACUGAGACACGGUCCAGACUCCUACGGGAGGCAGCAGUAGGGAAUCUUCCGCAAUGGGCGAAAGCCUGACGGAGCAACGCCGCGUGAGUGAUGAAGGUCUUCGGAUCGUAAAACUCUGUUAUUAGGGAAGAACAUAUGUGUAAUUAACUGUGCACAUCUUGACGGUACCUAAUCAGAAAGCCACGGCUAACUACGUG
RNAcentral lists this ribosomal RNA (497 nucleotides) under uncultured bacterium. RNAcentral describes it as "partial 16S ribosomal RNA". It matches the Rfam family "Bacterial small subunit ribosomal RNA", at positions 28 to 507 of the family's 1533-position model. The record is from RNAcentral.